UACGUAGGGGGCAAGCGUUGUCCGGAUUCAUUGGGCGUAAAGAGCUCGUAGGCGGUUCGGCAAGUCGGGUGUGAAAACUCCAGGCUCAACCUGGAGACGCCACCCGAUACUGCUGUGACUUGAGUCCGGUAGGGGACCACGGAAUUCCUGGUGUAGCGGUGAAAUGCGCAGAUAUCAGGAGGAACACCUGAGGCGAAGGCGGGUUGCUGGGCUGAUACUGACGCUGAGGCGCGAAAGCCAGGGGAGCAAACGGG
Molecule: ribosomal RNA, 254 nt
Filed under: uncultured bacterium
Lineage: Bacteria
Description: partial 16S ribosomal RNA
Rfam family: Bacterial small subunit ribosomal RNA
Source: RNAcentral